UAACAUAUUGGAACGUACCGAGUAAUGGGGGAUAACUAUCCGAAAGGAUAGCUAAUACCGCAUACGCUUUAAGAAGGAAAGUGGGGGCUCUUCGGACCUCACGUUAUUCGAACGGCCAAUACCUGAUUAGCUAGUUGGCGGGGUAAAAGCCCACCAAGGCGACGAUCAGUAGCGGGUCUGAGAGGAUGAUCCGCCACACUGGGACUGAGACACGGCCCAGACUCCUACGGGAGGCAGCAGUGGGGAAUUUUGGACAAUGGGCGCAAGCCUGAUCCAGCCAUGCCGCGUGUCUGAAGAAGGCCUUCGGGUUGUAAAGGACUUUUGUUAGGGAAGAAAAGGAUAGUGCUAAUACCAUUAUCUGCUGACGGUACCUAAAGAAUAAGCACCGGCUAACUACGUGCCAGCAGCCGCGGUAAUACGUAGGGUGCAAGCGUUAAUCGGAAUUACUGGGCGUAAAGCGAGCGCAGACGGUUUAUUAAGCAAGAUGUGAAAUCCCCGGGCUUAACCUGGGAACUGCGUUUUGAACUGGUAAGCUAGAGUAUGUCAGAGGGGGGUAGAAUUCCACGUGUAGCAGUGAAAUGCGUAGAGAUGUGGAGGAAUACCGAUGGCGAAGGCAGCCCCCUGGGAUAAUACUGACGUUCAUGCUCGAAAGCGUGGGUAGCAAACAGGAUUAGAUACCCUGGUAGUCCACGCCCUAAACGAUGUCGAUUAGCUGUUGGGCAACUUGAUUGCUUAGUAGCGUAGCUAACGCGUGAAAUCGACCGCCUGGGGAGUACGGUCGCAAGAUUAAAACUCAAAGGAAUUGACGG
This 809-nucleotide ribosomal RNA is filed under the name uncultured bacterium. RNAcentral's name for it is "bacterial SSU rRNA". It matches the Rfam family "Bacterial small subunit ribosomal RNA", at positions 111 to 916 of the family's 1533-position model. The record is from RNAcentral.